Molecule: ribosomal RNA, 433 nt
Filed under: uncultured bacterium
Lineage: Bacteria
Description: partial 16S ribosomal RNA
Rfam family: Bacterial small subunit ribosomal RNA
Source: RNAcentral
AACGAACGCUGGCGGCAUGCCUAACACAUGCAAGUCGAACGAGACCUUCGGGUCUAGUGGCGCACGGGUGCGUAACGCGUGGGAACCUGCCCUUAGGUUCGGAAUACCUCUCCGAAAGGGGUGCUAAUACCGGAUAAUGUCUUCGGACCAAAGAUUUAUCGACUUUGGAUGGGCCCGCGUUGGUUUAGCUAGUUGGUAGGGUAAAAGCCUACCAAGGCGAGGAUCCAUAGCUGGGCUGAGAGGAUGAUCAGCGACACUGGGGCUGAGACGCGGCCCAGACUCCUACGGGAGGCAGCAGUGGGGGAUAUAGGAAAAUGGGGGGAAGGAUGAUCCAGCAAGGCCGGGUGAGUGAUGAAGGCGUUAGAGAUGUAAAGCUCUUUUACCCGGGAUGAUAAUGACAGUACCGGGAGAAUAAGCACCGGCCAACUCCGUG